RNAcentral lists this long non-coding RNA (380 nucleotides) under Olea europaea (common olive). RNAcentral describes it as "long non-coding RNA (OEUR_LNC004493)". Lineage: Eukaryota; Viridiplantae; Streptophyta; Magnoliopsida; Lamiales; Oleaceae. The record is from RNAcentral.
AAUUUUUCUUCGAUCACAUUCAGCAAAGCCACAAAUUUUCUACCCGUAAACCCCAAAACUACCACGCUAUCUGCUAUCAAUUAAAAAGUCCUCGAAUCUCCAGUCCACCAGCUUCGAUGCUAGUUCAACAUAGUGCCCUAGCUUUCUUCGAUUGUCUCACCGAACGGUGGAUAGAAGUGGAGAUGUAGUUGUAAAUGGCUUAGGUUUGUGCUUAGGGUUGGGUCUUGCUGGUAAUAGUAGUGAUGGCGACGGGGAAAGAGGAGGAAUGGGGAUUGUGUCGGUGGCAUGUAGAAGAAGCGACAAAGGGAUUUGGGGGAAUGACGUUGAAGGAAGCGCGGAUCGUAAUGGAUCUCUUAUUUCUUGGUCAACCGUAUUCAAUU